CCUUGACAUCCAGAGAACUUAGCAGAGAUGCUUUGGUGCCUUCGGGAACUUUGAGACAGGUGCUGCAUGGCUGUCGUCAGCUCGUGUUGUGAAAUGUUGGGUUAAGUCCCGNAACGAGCGCAACCCUUAUCCUUUGUUGCCAGCGGUUCGGCCGGGAACUCAAAGGAGACUGCCGGUGAUAAACCGGAGGAAGGUGGGGAUGACGUCAAGUCAUCAUGGCCCUUACGGCCAGGGCUACACACGUGCUACAAUGGCGCAUACAAAGAGAAGCGACCUCGCGAGAGCAAGCGGACCUCAUAAAGUGCGUCGUAGUCCGGAUUGGAGUCUGCAACUCGACUCCAUGAAGUCGGAAUCGCUAGUAAUCGUAGAUCAGAAUGCUACGGUGAAUACGUUCCCGGGCCUUGUACACACCGCCCGUCACACCAUGGGAGUGGGUUGCAAAAGAAGUAGGUAGCUUAACCUUCGGGAGGGCGCUUACCACUUUGUGAUUCAUGACUGGGGUGAAGUCGUAACAAGGUAGGCGUAGCGAG
RNAcentral lists this ribosomal RNA (530 nucleotides) under uncultured bacterium. Its description in RNAcentral is "bacterial SSU rRNA". It matches the Rfam family "Bacterial small subunit ribosomal RNA", at positions 979 to 1509 of the family's 1533-position model. The record is from RNAcentral.